AUUGAACGCUGGCGGCAUGCUUUACACAUGCAAGUCGGACGGCAGCACAGAGAAGCUUGCUUCUUGGGUGGCGAGUGGCGAACGGGUGAGUAACAUAUCGGAACGUACCGAGUAAUGGGGGAUAACUAAUCGAAAGAUUAGCUAAUACCGCAUAUUCUCUGAGGAGGAAAGCAGGGGACCUUCGGGCCUUGCGUUAUUCGAGCGGCCGAUAUCUGAUUAGCUAGUUGGUGGGGUAAAGGCCUACCAAGGCGACGAUCAGUAGCGGGUCUGAGAGGAUGAUCCGCCACACUGGGACUGAGACACGGCCCAGACUCCUACGGGAGGCAGCAGUGGGGAAUUUUGGACAAUGGGCGCAAGCCUGAUCCAGCCAUGCCGCGUGUCUGAAGAAGGCCUUCGGGUUGUAAAGGACUUUUGUCAGGGAAGAAAAGGCUGUUGCUAAUACCGACAGCUGAUGACG
Molecule: ribosomal RNA, 457 nt
Filed under: Neisseria flavescens
Lineage: Bacteria; Pseudomonadati; Pseudomonadota; Betaproteobacteria; Neisseriales; Neisseriaceae
Description: bacterial SSU rRNA
Rfam family: Bacterial small subunit ribosomal RNA
Source: RNAcentral